GGGAAACAUCAAGAGCAUUGAUUGUUUCCUGAUGAAUCUUCCAACAAAAAGCUGCUGCAAUUUCCUGCUUGUAGUUCUUGAGCAAGAUCUCUACAAGUCUCAUUUUGCAAGAUACAUGC
This 119-nucleotide small nucleolar RNA is filed under the name Erythranthe guttata (spotted monkey flower). RNAcentral describes it as "Mimulus guttatus (spotted monkey flower) Small nucleolar RNA snoR104". It matches the Rfam family "Small nucleolar RNA snoR104". The record is from Rfam by way of RNAcentral. Lineage: Eukaryota; Viridiplantae; Streptophyta; Magnoliopsida; Lamiales; Phrymaceae.